Molecule: ribosomal RNA, 513 nt
Filed under: Triticum aestivum (bread wheat)
Lineage: Eukaryota; Viridiplantae; Streptophyta; Magnoliopsida; Poales; Poaceae
Description: partial small subunit ribosomal RNA
Source: RNAcentral
AUGGAUGCCGCUGUGCGCCGUCUGGAUGGCGCGGCGCGGCGCGCUGCGACGAGCCAGGAUUUUGCGCAUCAGCCAAUGGCGAACAACAAGAAGUCUGCUGCCCGUACUGAAGCUAGGGCUCCACCAGUUGGUAGAAGGGCUGGCCUUCGACUAGACGCACAGACCGAGCGUUUUGCUGCCGAAGCUGAGGGGAAUGGACUCGCGGUUUUCUGGGGAGUUACGGUGAUGCUUAGAGAGCGUACUGCCAGGUUCUUUGAACCAAAUUUCUGCAUUGGAAUUGUGGUAUCAAGGUCAUCUACUUUCGGGGAGUUCACCCAGCAGGCAGCUCUUAGCAUCAGGACAACAGCUGUGAGGAAUCAUAUCGAGCUUCCUGAGCAGGCCCUUGAGGAUUUACAGUUCUUUGUAGGUUCGGAUAACAUGUGCCCUCUGCCUGAUGUGUCGAUGAUGGAGAUCGAGCGCAAGUUCAAAGGUGCUGAUGAGGUCGUCCUGAUGCUGUUCCUGGCCACCCACUGA